GAUGAACGCUGGCGGCGUGCUUAACACAUGCAAGUCGAACGGACCCAUAUUGAAACCUAGUGAUAUAUGGGUUAGUGGCGGACGGGUGAGUAACGCGUGGGUAACCUGCCUUACACAGGGGGAUAACACUUAGAAAUAGGUGCUAAAACCGCAUAAGCGCACAGCUUCGCAUGAAGCGGUGUGAAAAACUCCGGUGGUGUAAGAUGGACCCGCGUCUGAUUAGCUUGUUGGCGGGGUAACGGCCCACCAAGGCGACGAUCAGUAGCCGGCCUGAGAGGGCGGACGGCCACAUUGGGACUGAGACACGGCCCAGACUCCUACGGGAGGCAGCAGUGGGGAAUAUUGCACAAUGGGGGAAACCCUGAUGCAGCGACGCCGCGUGAGUGAAGAAGUAAUUCGUUACGUAAAGCUCUAUCAGCAGGGAAGAAAAUGACGGUACCUGAGUAAGAAGCCCCGGCUAACUACGUGCCAGCAGCCGCGGUAAUACGUAGGGGGCAAGCGUUAUCCGGAUUUACUGGGUGUAAAGGGAGCGUAGACGGUGCGCCAAGUCUGGAGUGAAAUGCCGCAGCUUAACUGCGGAACUGCUUUGGAAACUGGCGAACUAGAGUGCGGGAGGGGUAAGCGGAAUUCCUAGUGUAGCGGUGAAAUGCGUAGAUAUUAGGAGGAACACCGGUGGCGAAGGCGGCUUACUGGACCGUAACUGACGUUGAGGCUCGAAAGCGUGGGGAGCAAACAGGAUUAGAUACCCUGGUAGUCCACGCCGUAAACGAUGAUUACUAGUGUCGGGGACCCAAGGGGUCUCCGGUGCCGCCCGCAAACGCAUUAAGUAAUCCACCUGGGGAGUACGUUCGCAAGAAAUGAAACUCAAAGGAAUUGACGGGGGACCCGCACAAGCGGUGGAGCAUGUGGUUUUUCGAAGCACCGAAGAACCUUACCUGCCCUUGACAUCCGGAUGAAUAAGGGGUAAUGCCCUUAGCCCUUCGGGGCAUCCGAGACAGGUGGUGCAUGGUUGUCGUCAGCUCGUGUCGUGAGAUGUUGGGUUAAGUCCCGCAACGAGCCAACCCCUAUCUUCAGUAGCCAGCAUUCAGGAUGGGAACUUUGGAGAGACUGCACACCGGGAGGAAGGCGGGGAUGACGUCAAAUCAUCAUGCCCCUUAUGGGCAGGGCUACACACGUGCUACAAUGGCGAAAACAGAGGGAAGCGAGCCGGUGACGGUAAGCAAACCCCAAAAACAUCGUCCCAGUUCGGACUGUAGUCUGCAACCCGACUACACGAAGCCGGAAUCGCUAGUAAUCGCGGAUCAGAAUGCCGCGGUGAAUACGUUCCCGGGUCUUGUACACACCGCCCGUCACACCAUGGGAGUCGGAAAUGCCCGAAGUCAGUGACCUAACCUUUAAGGGAGGAGCUGCCGAAGGAGUAACUGGGGUG
Molecule: ribosomal RNA, 1429 nt
Filed under: uncultured bacterium
Lineage: Bacteria
Description: bacterial SSU rRNA
Rfam family: Bacterial small subunit ribosomal RNA
Source: RNAcentral